AUACGUAGGUGGCAAGCGUUGUCCGGAAUUAUUGGGCGUAAAGCGCGCGCAGGUGGUUCCUUAAGUCUGAUGUGAAAGCCCACGGCUCAACCGUGGAGGGUCAUUGGAAACUGGGGAACUUGAGUGCAGAAGAAGAAAGUGGAAUUCCAAGUGUAGCGGUGAAAUGCGUAGAGAUUUGGAGGAACACCAGUGGCGAAGGCGACUUUCUGGUCUGUAACUGACACUGAGGCGCGAAAGCGUGGGGAGCAAACAGGAUUAGAUACCCUGGUAGUCCACGCCGUAAACGAUGAGUGCUAAGUGUUAGAGGGUUUCCGCCCUUUAGUGCUGCAGCUAACGCAUUAAGCACUCCGCCUGGGGAGUACGGCCGCAAGGCUGAA
RNAcentral lists this ribosomal RNA (377 nucleotides) under uncultured bacterium. RNAcentral's name for it is "bacterial SSU rRNA". It matches the Rfam family "Bacterial small subunit ribosomal RNA", at positions 523 to 898 of the family's 1533-position model. The record is from RNAcentral.